This 427-nucleotide ribosomal RNA is filed under the name uncultured bacterium. RNAcentral's name for it is "bacterial SSU rRNA". It matches the Rfam family "Bacterial small subunit ribosomal RNA", at positions 355 to 774 of the family's 1533-position model. The record is from RNAcentral.
UAAGGAAUAUUGGACAAUGCCCGCAAGGGUGAUCCAGCAAUGCCGCGUGCAGGAUGAAGGCCUUCGGGUUGUAAACUGCUUUUGUACGGAACGAAAAGCUUCUGGUUAAUACCUGGGAGUCAUGACGGUACCGUAAGAAUAAGCACCGGCUAACUACGUGCCAGCAGCCGCGGUAAUACGUAGGGUGCGAGCGUUAAUCGGAAUUACUGGGCGUAAAGCGUGCGCGGGCGGUUAUGUAAGACAGAGGUGAAAUCCCCGGGCUCAACCUGGGAACUGCCUUUGUGACUGCAUGGCUAGAGUGCGGCAGAGGGGGAUGGAAUUCCGCGUGUAGCAGUGAAAUGCGUAGAUAUGCGGAGGAACACCGAUGGCGAAGGCAAUCCCCUGGGCCUGCACUGACGCUCAUGCACGAAAGCGUGGGGAGCAAACA